ACAAUUCCCUCCACGCAUCCUCCAACAAAAUCAACUGCAAAGAUGAUUAUAGGUCGUAAGGCCAUUGACGUUACAUAUUGGACAAAUGGACAUUACACCGACAGGAAGUGAAAAUAGAGGACAACAUGGAGCAAAUGUAACUGCUUCCACUCUUCUGGAAAGACUUUCAACGUUGAUUUUGGAGUGUUUCUAUGGGAAUGUUUGGCCAUUCAUCCAAUUGAAGAUCAUUCGUAAUGUCAAAGUUGACUGACUGAAAAUUAUUGCUCUGGUUCAUCCCAAACAGUCCCCAACAGAAGCAUCCAUGUGUGAAACUGUGUUUUGGUCUGAUGAAACCAAGGUUGAACAAGUUAAGCAUGCUGUUGGCAAAGUCUUGCUUUGUGGGUUUGUUUUCCUUCAACUUGAGCUGAGGCUUCAGCAAUAUAAGGUAUAAUACCAACUUGGACGAUAGUGUUUGGUCAUACAAGCAAGAUUGCGAUUUUUGUUUGGAUUUCCUAAAAAACUGAUUUGGGAGAUAUGCGGUAUAGAAAAUGGAUGGCAAGACAAAUGGAAUGUCCCAGCCACAGCCCAGACCUAAAUCCAUUGCAGUGACCAGCAGGGGCUGAGGAUGUGCUCUUUCUGUAUCCUUGACAGCGUGAUUUAAUGUUUCAAUUCUUUUGCAUUGUCCAUUCCUCCGACUUAGCGAACGUGUUUGAACUCCCCUUGGGCCUCCACUCAAGGUUAAGCGCGCGCCUUAAUCCCGCCAACCUCUCUCUUGUUUGCCUUAAUUCCCGUCACGCGCGGGUAACCGCUUUUACGUACCUGGUCAGAUAAGGGGAGCGUGGAGAAGGCGGGCACACUUUUGGCCCACUUGAUGCUCAUGAAGAGAAGGCGGGCCGCCGACUCGCACACCGACUCGGUGGCCACCUCGUACAGAUGGCCGCCUUGCAGUGAGACUUGAUUCUGUUCAAGGUCCAAGUUGCUGCCGCCAAACUUCCACAAUCAGUCCACGCUCAGCACGCACGCCGGCGCAUCGUCCUCCUUCCAAAUCCGGUCAACCGGACCGACUCGCAGCCCGUCGGCAGCCCGGCGACGGUGACCUGUGGGCGGCUGCGGUCGGUGCGCAACAGGCGUCAAAUUGGAGGGUGCUGGAGGCCGGGCGGGGUGAAAACCAGAAGCAGAAGCAGAAGCCUUUUUCCUGCAGCGGUGGAGCGGCCGGCACCGAGUUUCCUGGCCGAGCGUUGGUGGGCACAGUCUCAUGCGUCACACCUGCUGCCGAUGGUCAUCGCCGAAGUUUAUAGGCGCACCAGUGGUGUUUUGGGAUCCUAGAUUUAGCUUUCCGCCGUUCUUGACGCGCACAGCGUUAACAAUGGCGAGAAGCAGAGGCAGAGAAGGUCCCUAACUAAGCUCCAGUAAUGUGUUGUUCCCACAGAGCAG
This is a long non-coding RNA of Phyllopteryx taeniolatus (common seadragon), 1413 nucleotides long. RefSeq lists it as uncharacterized. The record is from RefSeq and is a predicted model, not a curated record. The transcript has 4 exons. Lineage: Eukaryota; Metazoa; Chordata; Actinopteri; Syngnathiformes; Syngnathidae.